This 448-nucleotide ribosomal RNA is filed under the name uncultured bacterium. RNAcentral describes it as "bacterial SSU rRNA". It matches the Rfam family "Bacterial small subunit ribosomal RNA", at positions 328 to 793 of the family's 1533-position model. The record is from RNAcentral.
GAGCCAGACUCCUACGGGAGGCAGCAGUGGGGGAUAUUGCACAAUGGGGGAAACCCUGAUGCAGCGACGCCGCGUGUGGGAAGACGGUCCUCUGGAUUGUAAACCACUGUCCCCAGGGACGAAGAUGACGGUACCUGGGGAGGAAGCUCCAGCUAACUACGUGCCAGCAGCCGCGGUAAUACGUAGGGAGCGAGCGUUGUCCGGAAUUACUGGGUGUAAAGGGAGCGUAGGCGGGACUGCAAGUUGGGUGUCAAAUCUACCGGCUCAACUGGUAGUCGCACUCAAAACUGCAGCUCUUGAGUGAAGUAGAGGCAGGCGGAAUUCCUAGUGUAGCGGUGAAAUGCGUAGAUAUUAGGAGGAACACCAGUGGCGAAGGCGGCCUGCUGGGCUUUAACUGACGCUGAAGCACGAAAGCGUGGGUAGCAAACAGGAUUAGAUACCCUGGUAC